Molecule: ribosomal RNA, 745 nt
Filed under: uncultured bacterium
Lineage: Bacteria
Description: bacterial SSU rRNA
Rfam family: Bacterial small subunit ribosomal RNA
Source: RNAcentral
ACGCUGGCGGCAGGCCUAACACAUGCAAGUCGAGCGGUAGAGAGAAGCUUGCUUCUCUUGAGAGCGGCGGACGGGUGAGUAAUGCCUAGGAAUCUGCCUGGUAGUGGGGGAUAACGUCCGGAAACGGACGCUAAUACCGCAUACGUCCUACGGGAGAAAGCAGGGGACCUUCGGGCCUUGCGCUAUCAGAUGAGCCUAGGUCGGAUUAGCUAGUUGGUGGGGUAAUGGCUCACCAAGGCGACGAUCCGUAACUGGUCUGAGAGGAUGAUCAGUCACACUGGAACUGAGACACGGUCCAGACUCCUACGGGAGGCAGCAGUGGGGAAUAUUGGACAAUGGGCGAAAGCCUGAUCCAGCCAUGCCGCGUGUGUGAAGAAGGUCUUCGGAUUGUAAAGCACUUUAAGUUGGGAGGAAGGGCAGUUACCUAAUACGUGAUUGUUUUGACGUUACCGACAGAAUAAGCACCGGCUAACUCUGAGCCAGCAGCCGCGGUAAUACAGAGGGUGCAAGCGUUAAUCGGAAUUACUGGGCGUAAAGCGCGCGUAGGUGGUUCGUUAAGUUGGAUGUGAAAUCCCCGGGCUCAACCUGGGAACUGCAUUCAAAACUGACGAGCUAGAGUAUGGUAGAGGGUGGUGGAAUUUCCUGUGUAGCGGUGAAAUGCGUAGAUAUAGGAAGGAACACCAGUGGCGAAGGCGACCACCUGGACUGAUACUGACACUGAGGUGCGAAAGCGUGGGGAGCAAAC